UAAGCCUCUGGAGUGAACUUCCGGGCCAGCCUCAACGUCACAUUCCACAGCUUUUGCCUCCCUGGACUGCCUCCCUGAAUCGAUUUAGAUUGCAGGAUGAACCCUCCUGUCUUGUGCUGUUUUCAUACUUGGAAGUUUCUUAAAUGGAUAAUGCCCUUGUUCCAGUAACUAGUCGAUUUGCUAGGCCAUUGAGGCAUCUCGAUGCAGACUACAUAGGAUACGGUGGAAGUUGAACGGCGGCGAAAUGCCAUGGGCUUUUGAAUCCGUGACUGAUGGCGGAGGUCAAACGGAUUGCAGCAUUGUGCGAGAUGGCAUCCCAUCUCGCAUGAAACAAAA
Molecule: small RNA, 336 nt
Filed under: Histoplasma ohiense
Lineage: Eukaryota; Fungi; Ascomycota; Eurotiomycetes; Onygenales; Ajellomycetaceae
Description: hypothetical lncRNA
Source: RNAcentral